AUUGAACGCUGGCGGCAGGCCUAACACAUGCAAGUCGAACGGUAACAGGAAGCAGCUUGCUGCUUUGCUGACGAGUGGCGGACGGGUGAGUAAUGUCUGGGAAACUGCCCGAUGGAGGGGGAUAACUACUGGAAACGGUAGUUAAUACCGCAUAACGUCGCAAGACCAAAGAGGGGGACCUUAGGGCCUCUUGUCAUCGGAUGUGCCCAGAUGGGAUUAGCUAGUAGGUGGGGUAACGGCUCACCUAGGCGACGAUCCCUAGCUGGUCUGAGAGGAUGACCAGCCACACUGGAACUGAGACACGGUCCAGACUCCUACGGGAGGCAGCAGUGGGGAAUAUUGCACAAUGGGCGCAAGCCUGAUGCAGCCAUGCCGCGUGUAUGAAGAAGGCCUUCGGGUUGUAAAGUACUUUCAGCGGGGAGGAAGGGAGUAAAGUUAAUACCUUUGCUCAUUGACGUUACCCGCAGAAGAAGCACCGGCUAACUCCGUG
Molecule: ribosomal RNA, 490 nt
Filed under: uncultured bacterium
Lineage: Bacteria
Description: partial 16S ribosomal RNA
Rfam family: Bacterial small subunit ribosomal RNA
Source: RNAcentral